UACGUAUGUCGCAAGCGUUAUCCGGAUUUAUUGGGCGUAAAGCGCGUCUAGGCGGUUUGGUAAGUCUGGUGUGAAAAUGCGGGGCUUAACUCCGUAUUGCGUUGGAAACUGCCAAACUUGAGUACUGGAGAGGUGGGCGGAACUACAAGUGUAGAGGUGAAAUUCGUAGAUAUUUGUAGGAAUGCCGAUGGGGAAGCCAGCCCACUGGACAGAUACUGACGCUAAAGCGCGAAAGCGUGGGUAGCAAACAGG
This 252-nucleotide ribosomal RNA is filed under the name uncultured bacterium. RNAcentral describes it as "partial 16S ribosomal RNA". It matches the Rfam family "Bacterial small subunit ribosomal RNA", at positions 524 to 776 of the family's 1533-position model. The record is from RNAcentral.